AUCCAGCCGCCUCCGGAGCGCUGCAGAGACGGGCGCUCUCCACAAGAUGUCGCCAGACUUUUCCAGGCCGAUAAGUACGGGCUGAGCUCGUCUGUCCCGCCCACCUGGGUGCCGGAGAGCCCAUCUAUUCCAUCUCUGUCCCCGAUCAGCAUCCCUCCGAUCCCCGGAGCGCACCCUCCUGGAACAAGUUUGCAUUCCAGUCAAGAAGUUGCUAAUCCUUCGUUUUGUUGCAGCCCGACAAUAAGAAAAUCACGUUUCAUCGCUUAAGCAUUUUCCAGUGAUGCAUCUAUAAGAAUUUCGUCUCCCCGCAGGGAUGUAGUCCCAAGGGAGGGGGCG
This is a long non-coding RNA of Rana temporaria (common frog), 336 nucleotides long. RefSeq lists it as uncharacterized. The transcript is spliced from 3 exons. The record is from RefSeq and is a predicted model, not a curated record. NCBI's taxonomy places the organism in Eukaryota, Metazoa, Chordata, Amphibia, Anura, Ranidae.